This 495-nucleotide ribosomal RNA is filed under the name uncultured bacterium. Its description in RNAcentral is "partial 16S ribosomal RNA". It matches the Rfam family "Bacterial small subunit ribosomal RNA", at positions 28 to 505 of the family's 1533-position model. The record is from RNAcentral.
GAUGAACGCUGGCGGCGUGCCUAAUACAUGCAAGUCGAGCGAACGGACGAGAAGCUUGCUUCUCUGAUGUUAGCGGCGGACGGGUGAGUAACACGUGGAUAACCUACCUAUAAGACUGGGAUAACUUCGGGAAACCGGAGCUAAUACCGGAUAAUAUUUUGAACCGCAUGGUUCAAAAGUGAAAGACGGUCUUGCUGUCACUUAUAGAUGGAUCCGCGCUGCAUUAGCUAGUUGGUAAGGUAACGGCUUACCAAGGCAACGAUGCAUAGCCGACCUGAGAGGGUGAUCGGCCACACUGGAACUGAGACACGGUCCAGACUCCUACGGGAGGCAGCAGUAGGGAAUCUUCCGAAAGGGGCGAAAGCCUGACGGAGCAACGCCGCGUGAGUGAUGAAGGUCUUCGGAUCGUAAAACUCUGUUAUUAGGGAAGAACAUAUGUGUAAGUAACUGUGCACAUCUUGACGGUACCUAAUCAGAAAGCCACGGCGAACUACG